This 4012-nucleotide long non-coding RNA is filed under the name Homo sapiens (human). RNAcentral describes it as "HSALNT0131712". The record is from RNAcentral. Lineage: Eukaryota; Metazoa; Chordata; Mammalia; Primates; Hominidae.
GCUGAAUGGUACUACACAGUCAGACGCCUGGGCCCUUCCCCACCAUAUCCAUAUCCAAUCAGUCCAAUAGUGCCAUCACUUCACUACCAAGCAGCUUCCCAUUUCCAGUUCCUAAUUCAACCAUCAUUUUGAAGAGCACAACCUAAGAGGUUAGCCUUAAAUAUGUCCCUUUGACAUAUUUCUCACUUGUAGUCAGAGGAAUAUUUCCAAAAGGCAAACCAUAUUUUUCUCCUUACCUCUAUUUUGUCCACUAGUUCUCUCUCCUUCUCUUUUGUUCUCUUCCUCCCUUGCCUACAGCUCGCUCCCUGCUUCAAGCACCCACCGUUCUCAAGAUAAAGUCUGAAUUCCUUAAAAUGGUAAAGACUCGUGUAGCCUAGCCCCCAGCCUCAUCUUCUGCCUUCCUGCUGAACUUCAAGUUCAAACACAACAAACCUUCUCUAGUCUUCAGAGUGACCUUCUUUGUUAGAUGGGUCCUUUCCCCCAACAUCCCUCUUUGACUGGUUAACUUCUGUUUAUCUUUUACAUCUUAGCGUAGCCCACCAGCAGGUAGAUUUGAGUAUAAAGGGUUUUGUUUUCUUCUUUCAAAUAAACAUUGGUCGCUAAGGAUUCACUGAGAUAACUAUGUUUCUUUUGGGGACAUAAUGACUUUAGAACAUAUUUCAUAUUCACAGUCAAAAAUCACAACAAAACUAAAACAUGAAACUUACAUCAAGUUGAACAAAUUGCAAAAACUCUCCAACCAGCUCCUUAGACACGGCUUGUACAAACGUCUCACGUUUUUCCAUGACAGAUGGCACUGUUCAAAUGGCAUUUAUUUUGUAACCCUAAUGGAAAACACAAUCAUACUGAAACACUUGCAAAUAUAUCUUUUCCUGUAAGAUUUAAUUUGAUAUUAACAUCCAAGAACUGCAAGAAAAUUCCUCAACCACGUAUGGCAGACAGUUUCUAAAAACAUUCUGACAUAAAACACGCUAUAAUAUCUGAAAAACAAUUUACUUAUUUCCUUUACUGGGGAUGUGAAUAACAUGAUAUUAAUGAUAUUUUAUCAACAAUUGUUAAUAAAAUUACCAACUAAGGAGGGAGAAGAGGGCUCUGUCACACCAGCCGGGGGCCCGGAGGAGGGGUCUCCAGGGCCACACAGGGCCUGGCCCAGCAGAGUGAGCCACUGGCUCCAAGAAGGGGAGGAGUCUCUCCAGCACAUAGGAAGCUGUAUUAGUCUGCUCUCACACUGCUAUGAAGGAAUACCUGAGGCCAGGUGCAGUGACUCACACCUGUAAUCCCAGUACUUUGAGAGGCCAAGGUGGGCAGAUCACCUGAGGUCUGGAGUUUGAGACCAGCCUGACCAACAUGGUGAAACCCCGUCUCUACUAAAAAUACAAAAAUUACCCAGGCAUGGUGGCGUGCGCCUGUAAUCCCAGCUACUCGGGAGGCUGAGGCAGGAGAAUCGCUUGAACCCAGGAGGCACAGCCACACUUAGGGAGAGCUUGGGAAGGGGUGGAGGGUGACAACUGGGGGUGCUGAGACAGAUACCAUCACCUGGUGUCCCCGACAGUGAGGGGAGGGGAAUGGUGGGGCGAGCCAGGCUCUGCAGGGCCCUCUGGACUUCUGGGGAGCUCCUGUUCAGUGCAAGUGGUUUUCUUCCCCCUCUUAGGUUGAAUUCCUCUUUAACAUGAUCCCCGGCCUUUCGAUAAAGGAAUUUUCAUACACAACCUGCAGCUGUGACCUAGGGAAGACUGCAGGGGCAAAAGUGAAGAGGAAAGUGAGCAGCCCCCCCCCCAAUCCCCCUGGGGUCCUCGGGGACGUCGCAGCAUGGGUCCAGGGAUGCGGAGCUCAGGCACGGGAGGUGAGCUCAGGGGUAUCUCCUUAGUGGUUACUCAAAGGAGAACAAGAUAAACCAUCGAGGGCAAACGUUUUCAACCAUGGCUGCCCAUGAAAACUACUUCAGCUGCUUUAAAAAUACUAAAGGCUAGGCUUCCUGGCCAACUCAAUCAAAUCGAUCAAUUCAACCGGGGAUUCCCUGGGCAUUCUUUUUUUUUAGACAGAGUCUCACACUGUCGCCCAGGCUGGAGUGCAAUGGCGCAAUCUCGGCUCACUGCAAGCUCCACCUCCCAGGUUCACGCCAUUCUCCCAUCUCAGCCUCCUGAGUAGCUGGGACUACAGGCGCCCGCCAUCACACCCGGCUAAUUUUUUUGUAUUUUUAGUAGAGACGGGUUUUCACUGUGUUAGCCAGGAUGGUCUUGAUCUCCUGACCUCGUGAUCCUCCCGCCUCGGCCUGCACUGAGGAGUGAGUUCUGGCUGCUGCCUCCACCUCACAGCAGGCAGGGGUCUUCACAGCCACUGCAUGCCCAAGACUACCCAGGCCAAUGGACUAGAAUGUCAAUCUUUAAAAUGCCUGAAGGGGGCCAGGCGUGGUGGCUCACACCUGUAAUCCCAGCACUUUGGGAGGCCAAGGCGAGUGGAUCACUUGAGGCCAGGAGUUCAAGACCAGCCUGGCCAACACGGUGAAACCCCAUCUCUACUAAAAAUACAAAAAAUGAGCCUAGUGCAGUGGCAUGUGCGUGUAAUCCCAACUACUUGGGAGGCUGAGGCAGGAGAAUUGCUUGAACCUGGGAGGCAGGGGUUGCAGUUAGCGGAGAUCGCACCAUUGCACUCCAGGCUGGGCAACAAGAGCAAAACUCUGUCUCAAUUAAAAAAAAAAAAAAAAAGGCCGGGUGCGGUGGCUCAUGCCUGUAAUCCCAGCACUUUGGGAGGCCAAGGCGGGCAGAUCACAAGGUCAGGAGAUCGAGACCAUCCUGGUCAACAUGGUGAAACCCCGUGUGGUGACAGACGCCUGUAAUCUCAGCUACUCAGGAGGCUGAGACAGGAGGACGGCGUAAACCCGGGAGGCGGAGUUUGCAGUGAGCUGAGAUUGCGCCACUGCACUCCAGCCUGGGUGACAGAGCCUUCUCCUCCUCCUCCUUCUUUUUUUUUUAAAGGUCACUCUCUCACCAAGGCUGGAGUGCAGUGGCACUCCACUCAAUAUCAUCAUAGCUCACUGCAGCCUCAACCUUUUUACUGGGCUCAAGCAAUCCUCCCAACUCAAUCUCCUGAGUAGCUGAAACUACAGGCAUGCCCCACCAUGCCUGGCUAAUUUUUAAAUUUUCUGCAGAGACAGGGUCUUACUAUGUUGCCCAGGGUUUCUUACUCCUGGCCUCAAGUGAUCUUCCUGCUUCCUUAAGCCUCUGAAAUUGCUGGGAUUACAGUCGCGAGAUACCAUGUUUGGCCCAGUCGGUGGUUUCUUACCAAAUUAAAUAUAUUCUUUUUUUUUUUUUUCUAGACAGGGUCUUGGUCUGUUGCCCAGGCUGGAGUGCAGUGGCACAAACAUAGCUCACUGCAGCCUCAGCCUCCUGGGCUCAAGUGAUCCUCCCACAUCAGCUUCCCAAAGUUCUGGGAUUACAGGUGUGAGCCACCAUGCCCAGCUCAAAAUAUACUAUUAUCGUAUUAUCCAACAAUUGUGCUCCUUAGUAUUUAACCAAAAGAGUUGAAAACUAUGGCCAUACAGAAAACUUGCACAGGGAUGUUUAUAGCAGCUUUAUUUGUAAUUGCUCAAACUUGGAAGCAAAUGAGCUGCCCUUUAGCAAGUGAGGUAGAUAAGUAAACUGUGGCACAUUCAGACAAUGGAAUAUGAUUCAGAACUAAAAAGAAAUGAGCUAUCAAGCUAUGAAAAGACAUGGAGGAGCUGUAAAUGCAUACUGCUAAGUGAAAGAAGCCAAUCUGAAAAGGCCGUAUACUGUGUGAUUCCAACUAUAUGACAUUUUGGAGAAGGCAAAACUAUAAAGACAAUGAAAAGAUCACACACACGAUACACGGCCACACACUCACGCACAUGAGCACAGACGCACGCACACAUACACAGGCAGAUGUAUUUGGCCCAUGAAGACAGAGAGCUUCCCCAUCACUGCCGCGCAAACCGCCUCGUACAUAGUAGGUGCGUGUUUCAAUGUUGCUGAAUGAAUCAAGAGCGCUAAACAGU